GAUGAACGCUAGCUACAGGCUUAACACAUGCAAGUCGAGGGGCAGCGCAGUGUAGCAAUACAUGGGCGGCGACCGGCGCACGGGUGCGUAACGCGUAUCCAACCUUCCCGUUACUCAGGGAUAGCCUUCCGAAAGGGAGAUUAAUACCUGAUGGUGUUUGAAUUCCGCAUGUUAUUUGAACUAAAGAUUUAUCGGUAACGGAUGGGGAUGCGUACCAUUAGAUAGUAGGCGGGGUAACGGCCCACCUAGUCGACGAUGGUUAGGGGUUCUGAGAGGAAGGUCCCCCACACUGGAACUGAGACACGGUCCAGACUCCUACGGGAGGCAGCAGUGAGGAAUAUUGGUCAAUGGCCGAGAGGCUGAACCAGCCAAGUAGCGUGAAGGAUGAAGGUUCUAUGGAUUGUAAACUUCUUUUAUACGGGAAUAACACCAUCUACGUGUAGAUGUCUGCAUGUACCGUAUGAAUAAGCAUCGGCUAACUCCGUG
This 486-nucleotide ribosomal RNA is filed under the name uncultured bacterium. RNAcentral's name for it is "bacterial SSU rRNA". It matches the Rfam family "Bacterial small subunit ribosomal RNA", at positions 28 to 507 of the family's 1533-position model. The record is from RNAcentral.